This 528-nucleotide ribosomal RNA is filed under the name uncultured Cyanobacterium sp. RNAcentral describes it as "bacterial SSU rRNA". It matches the Rfam family "Bacterial small subunit ribosomal RNA", at positions 112 to 666 of the family's 1533-position model. Lineage: Bacteria; Bacillati; Cyanobacteriota; Cyanophyceae; Chroococcales; Geminocystaceae. The record is from RNAcentral.
AACACGUGAGAAUUUGCCUUUAGGAGGGGAAUAACAAUUGGAAACGAAUGCUAAUACCCCAUAUGCUUUUAAUAAGUGAAAUGGAUUUAUCCGCCUAGAGAGAAGCUUGCGGCUGAUUAGCUUGUUGGUAAGGUAAAGGCUUACCAAGGCGACGAUCAGUAUCUGGUUUGAGAGGACGAUCAGACACACUGGAACUGAGACACGGUCCAGACUCCUACGGGAGGCAGCAGUGGGGAAUUUUCCGCAAUGGGCGAAAGCCUGACGGAGCAAUACCGCGUGAGGGAAGAAUGCCUAUGGGUUGUAAACCUCUUUUUUCAGGGAGGAAUAAAAUGACGUGUACCUGAAGAAUAAGCAUCGGCUAACUCCGUGCCAGCAGCCGCGGUAAGACGGAGGAUGCAAGUGUUAUCCGGAAUCACUGGGCGUAAAGCGUCUGUAGGUUGCUUAAUAAGUCAACUGUUAAAUCUUGAGGCUUAACCUCAAAAUCGCAGUUGAAACUAUUAGACUAGAGUAUAGUAUAGGUAAAGGGAA